This 256-nucleotide ribosomal RNA is filed under the name Limosilactobacillus reuteri. RNAcentral's name for it is "Lactobacillus reuteri partial 23S ribosomal RNA". It matches the Rfam family "Bacterial large subunit ribosomal RNA", at positions 149 to 403 of the family's 2925-position model. The record is from RNAcentral. Lineage: Bacteria; Bacillati; Bacillota; Bacilli; Lactobacillales; Lactobacillaceae.
GAUCUAGUGAAUACAUAGCUAGCAAGAGGUAGACGCAGUGAACUGAAACAUCUUAGUAGCUGCAGGAAGAGAAAGAAAUAUCGAUUCCCUGAGUAGCGGCGAGCGAAAAGGGAAGAGCCCAAACCAACAAGCUUGCUUGUUGGGGUUGUAGGACUGAACAUUAGAGUUACCAAAGUGCGACGUAGUCGCAACAGUUGGGAAGCUGUGCCAUAGAGGGUGAAAGCCCCGUAGACGAAACGUCACACUCUCUGUUCAG